This 408-nucleotide ribosomal RNA is filed under the name uncultured bacterium. RNAcentral's name for it is "partial 16S ribosomal RNA". It matches the Rfam family "Bacterial small subunit ribosomal RNA", at positions 28 to 526 of the family's 1533-position model. The record is from RNAcentral.
GACGAACGCUGGCGGCGUGCUUAACACAUGCAAGUCGAACGAAGUGGCGAACGGGUGAGUAACGCGUAAUCAACCUGCCCUUCAGAGGGGGACAACAGUUGGAAACGACUGCUAAUACCGCAUACUGAAGGAGGGGAUUGCGUCUGAUUGGCUAGUUGGAGGGGUAACGGCCCACCAAGGCGAUGAUCAGUAGCCGGUCUGAGAGGAUGAGCUGCCACAGUGGGACGGAGACACGGCCCAGACGCAUACGGGUGGGAGCCAUGGGGAUUCGUGCGGAAUGGGCGAAAGUCUGACGGAGCAACGCCGCGUGAGUGAGGACGGCCUUCGGGUUGUAAAGCUCUGUUAAUCGGGACGCGGUACCGGAAUAGGAAGCCACGGCUAACUACGUGCCAGCCGCCGCGGUAAUUC